UGGGGAAUAUUGCACAAUGGGCGCAAGCCUGAUGCAGCGACGCCGCGUGAGGGAUGACGGCCUUCGGGUUGUAAACCUCUUUCAAUAGGGACGAAGCGCAAGUGACGGUACCUAUAGAAGAAGGACCGGCCAACUACGUGCCAGCAGCCGCGGUAAUACGUAGGGUCCGAGCGUUGUCCGGAAUUACUGGGCGUAAAGAGCUCGUAGGUGGUUUGUCGCGUUGUUCGUGAAAACUCACAGCUUAACUGUGGGCGUGCGGGCGAUACGGGCAGACUAGAGUACUGCAGGGGAGACUGGAAUUCCUGGUGUAGCGGUGGAAUGCGCAGAUAUCAGGAGGAACACCGGUGGCGAAGGCGGGUCUCUGGGCAGUAACUGACGCUGAGGAGCGAAAGCGUGGGGAGCGAACAGGAUUAGAUACCCUGGUAGUCCACGCCGUAAACGGUGGGUACUAGGUGUGGGUUUCCUUCCUUGGGAUCCGUGCCGUAGCUAACGCAUUAAGUACCCCGCCUGGGGAGUACGGCCGCAAGGCU
RNAcentral lists this ribosomal RNA (530 nucleotides) under uncultured bacterium. RNAcentral describes it as "partial 16S ribosomal RNA". It matches the Rfam family "Bacterial small subunit ribosomal RNA", at positions 355 to 895 of the family's 1533-position model. The record is from RNAcentral.